GUUUUGCUCUUGUCACCUAGGCUGGAGUGCAGUGGCACGAUCUCAGCUCACUGCAACCUCUGCCUCUCAGGUUCAAGUGAUUUUCCUGCCUCAGCCUCCUGAGUAGCUGGGACUAUAGACACCUGCCACCAUGCCUGGCUAAUUUUAUAUUUUUAGUAGAGACGGGUUCACCAUGUUGGCCAGGCUGCUCUCGAAUUCCUGACCUCAGGUGAUCUGCCUGCUUUGGCCUCCCAAAGUGCUGGGAUUACAGGCGUAAGCCAUCGCGCACAGCCCAAAUUUAUCGAUUUUAUUUGUGUUAAGAGAGCUGCGUGCCUAGGAAAGUAGGUUUGUAUCUAGCAAUCUGUGUACCAGGAUGACUUAGCCAAUUGGAUUCUUUGCCCCUAGCCACAAGAGAAAAAAAGAACAGAGGAAAAUGUCUUGUUUGGAAGUGGCUGCUUGUUUUUGACUGGGCAAAUUUUAGCCCAGGUGCUAGUAAUUUGUGGCUAUGUUUAAAGAGAGGCAGGGGGAGGGAAGGGGAAGGAGGAGGAGGCUUCUCGGCUCCUCUGGAAUUCCGUGGUGUCAUUAUCGUGUGGGCACUCUGGGCAUCCGGCAUGAUCUGCAGUGACGAGCCGUGCAGUACCAGGAAUGGCUCUGAGCUACUGGAGGGAGGGAUGGUGGUCACCGCAUGCUGAAACCACAUCCUGCCCUUCAGCUUUGGCUCAUGCUAGUUCUGGAGGCAACGAAUAGGAGACAAAUCUAGUUGCAAGCAAUAUCGUAUAGCAAAUCUCAGAGCGGAUAUCAACCAAAGUUUGAAGUGGUGUGUGCAAGACGAAUGGGCAGAAGAGAGAUUUCCCUCUUAUCUCACUGCUCUCGUAUCAAGAGCAGGCUUCUUACGUCUUCUUCCCUACAGUUUAUUUUAGCAUAGCAUUCAUAGUUUUAAAAAUCCAUCAGUUCACGUUACUUCUUUGCUUAAAAUCCUCAAAUGGCUUCUCCUUGCGCUUAGGAAAAAACUCAAGCUCCUUACCAUGACUGGCAAGGUUCUCCCUGAUCUGGUUUCUACCCCUUUUCCAGCCUAGUUUUGCACAAAUUCACUCUGCUCCGGCUACACAGGUUAUUCGUCUCUCGAAUAGGCCAAGCUUAUUCUCACCUCUGGGCCUUUGCCUCUGCCACAUCUUUACAUGCUCGGCUCCAUCCCAUCCCUCAGGUCUCAGUUCAAACGUGGCCUGCCCCGGGCUCAGAGGGCCCUUCCCUGGCCAUCUUAUGCAAAAACCUCCCUGUUGCCAUCUUCACCUUACUAUGGUUUCAUUGUUCUUCAUUGUUGCAUUUAUGCAUAUCUGAAUUGGUCUUGUUCACUUACUUGCUGAUAGGCUAAUUAGGAUGGAACCCUCAAGACAGCAAGUGUUGUCCUGUUUCCCACUCUACCCCCAGCUUGGCACAUGGUAAGCACUCAACAAAUAGUGUUUUUUAAAACAUACAUUUGUCUUUUUGAAUCAAAGAGUGUUGUAGCUGGAAGGGACUCAGGAAACAGUUUACCCGAAUUUCCUCCUGCUAUAGAUGAGGUGGCUCAUGAUGGCCAAAUGACACAUCAAGGUCAAUGGUGGACCAUCUGGCUGGUCAGGCUGAUAUCUAUAUGGAGACUAGUUCCAGACUGAUGCCCCAGGAGUGGCAUGGGCCUAGGAGUAAAUUAUUUAUAAUGCAAACAUAUCUCAAACACUUUCCAGAAGGGCAAGCAGCCUGAGAUCUGGAGGGACAGUAAACACUUGGGCUUUCAGAAGCAUCAACAAAAAUAGCAGCUUCCUCUACCUGUUAGUUUAAAAGGACAAAACCACAAGGCUGCUGCCUAAGCAUGCUCUAUCAUUCUCAUACAGAAUUGUUAAGAAUGAGAACACAAUUUAUCCCCAAAUUCCUUAUCUCGUAUAACAGUGGGGUGUUACAGUAUGAAGUAUGUGUCUGACUGGAAAAUCUGCCAGAGUUAUCAAAGGCAGAAACGAGUCCCAGCCUCAAGCAGCCUUGCCAUGCCUCACAUGCUCAAUACCCAAGUUGGGUGCCCAUCUAUAGGAAGGUUGCGUCUUCUAUAAUAAACCUUUAGUUAGACUAGGCAGUGUCUCUCUCUGCUCUGAGUGCUGGGUACUUCCAAGACCCUUAUUUACUCAAUGAAUAACACAGAUAAAAAACCUGGAAAGUUUUGUUCUGACUUUGAGCUUGAACACUGACAGGUUGAAAGAGAAAAAAAUUUCAGCGACAUUAAUAAUCUGCAGGCAUGUCAAGAUUGGAUAAAUAUUAUUUGCAAGUGAAACAGCUCUCUUUUAACAGAGGGAGUUAAAAUAAUAAGGAGAGCCAAGUUUACAUGCAUUAAUUGUAUUCUCAGCAGAGAGAGACUUGCCUCUUCAUCUUUUACCCAUCCUGGUUACUUUUUUUUUUUUUUUUUUUUUUGAGAUGGAGUCUCACUCUGCUGCCCAGGCUGGAGUGCAGUAGUGUGAGCUGGCUCACUGCAACCUCUGCCUUUUGGGUUCAAAUGAUUCUCCUGCCUCAGCCUUCUGAGUAGCUGGGACUACAAGUGCCUGCCACCAUGUCCGGCUGAUUUUUGUAUUUUUAAGAGAGACGGUGUUUCACCAUGUUGGCUAGGCUGGUCUCAAACUCCUCACCUCAAGUAAUCCACCUGCCUCGGCCUCCCAAAGUAUUGGGAUUACAGGUGUGAGCCCCCACACCUGGCCCUGGUUACUUUUGAGUUGACAAUGGCAGUUUAUUCCCCAUUACAUCCAUCUAACAGCGAUGUCUGGCUUGGCGAUCUUCCUUAAACUGAGCUCCCAUCUAUUCCAGCAACUGUCACCUCUGCCCUAUGGUUCUAUAGGCUGAAUGUCACAUCGCCAUUGGCCCCUGACCCACAAUCAUUCCCCUUCACUUUUGUUCCUUCCCAUUUCUAGGUUCUGCUUACAUUGCUUGUCCCUGCAAAGCCUUCCACUUGCCUUUCCAUCUGGCCAAAUCCUGGCCGUCCCUCAAGGAAGGAGAAUUUCAGGUUCUACCUCUUUCAAGAAGCCAUCUCCAAGGCUCCUAGACUGUACUAAUUCAACUUGCCAUUUGAAUAGUUAUACUUUGUCCCCCAGAGUAGCCCAGAAGUACCUGACAAGCAGGGGCUAGGUCUGACACGAUUCUCAAGUGGCUAUGGCAACACUAGGUGCUUGGGCCCAAAAUAGAAAUACCCGUUCAGGGGCUCAAAAGCAUUCAUUUAAAGCAAUUUGCCGCAUGUGGAGACCUAGAAGGAGGAUGCCAUCAAUUACCGCUCCUUGCCAUCAGAGACCUCUUCCUGUAGUGGACUCAUGAGGCCUUCAGAUUCUGGGUCCCAGAUACUCAGAGCACAGUAUAAAUACUCUUGGGAGCAUCCCUCCUUGGAUGAGAAAAGGUCUGUGGGACUGGCACUGAAAACCCAGCUCACCUGCCCAAUUUGGCACAUCCUAAGUUAUGAUAAGCCCCCAACAGAGCCUAGAUGCUUAGGUAGAAUUUUAAUAGAAAACAUUGACCAGGUGCGGUGGCUCAUGCCUGUAAUCUCAGCACUUUCGGAGGCCAAGACAGGUGGAUUACAAGGUCAAGAGAUAGAGACCAUCCUGGCCAAUAUGGUGAAACCCUGUCUCUACUAAAAAUACAUAAAUUAGCCGGGCAUGGUGGCGGGCACCUGUAAUCCCAGCUACUCAGGAGGCUGAGGCAGGAGAAUCGCUUGAACCCAGGAGGCAGAGGUUGCAGUGAGCCAAGAUCGCGGCACUGCACUCCAGCCUGGUGACAGGGUGA
This 3762-nucleotide long non-coding RNA is filed under the name Homo sapiens (human). RNAcentral describes it as "HSALNT0349512". The record is from RNAcentral. Lineage: Eukaryota; Metazoa; Chordata; Mammalia; Primates; Hominidae.